GUGGACCAGGAGAAGUUAGCAGAUACGGUCUUCUUUCUCUGGACGGUUCACCUUUGGCUCAGUGCCCUACAGCUUGUAUACAGGAAAGAGAAUGCGUGAAAGUGAGCUCAGAUGUAACCUAAACCCAUGGAACUUGGAAAAAGAAGCAUCUGCCGAGAGGAGCGGGGUUGAUCUUGAUUUGCUUUCAGGGAGUUGCCACGGAGCUACUUAUACUUUCUUUGUCUAAGAAACAUUUAUUUUACAACCCACGGAGCAAUGCUGGGGAUGUAACUAUUUCUUGAUUGAUUCCUGUGGCACAGCAUCGUCUGCAGAGACCUGCAUUAUGUGAUAUUGAGAGUUAUUAUAAUAGCAAUGUGUGGAUAUUGGGUUACAAGGAGCCCUUCCCAUAAGAAUUUCUCAUAAAUCACAAAGGACACCUAUACUAAUGGAUGUCCCAGAGUGUAUGGAUGAGGGGACAUGGAAAUGAUACAUUCUAAUGAUUUUUCUCUACUUCUGGAGGUGCUGGCAGAUACCUAAAUCAUAUCAACAAGAAGUUUAUGGAAAAGAGAACUACAAUCAUCAUAAACCCAAUCAUGUUUUACUUGGUGUUGAAGGACAUUAAAAAAUACCUCCCACCUUAAUUUACUAAAUUAUCAAACAAAUCCUGUUCCCCGAUCUCAGAAGACCACCUGGCUCAGUAUCACAAAGCACCCUGAUUUCUCCCUCAUCUUGAGAUGUCAGGAUCCCUCAGAAAACUUCGUAGAGGUGCCCUGGUGGUGGCAUGCACCAAGAUCAGAUUGUUCUACCUGAGUUAAAGAUGUUCCUCCUGUUGCCUUUUGUGAAGCAGGAGAGAAUCAGAGCACCAGUGGAACAACAGGGGAUUGUCUCCUGGCUUGAUUCAGCUCUUCAGGCCCUGGAGAUGAAGUUCUGUGUCAGGCACCAAGCAUCUGUAUGCGGUAGGCAGCUGGAGGUCACUCUCUUGAUCACCUCUUGUGUGGACAAGUUUUCUUACAAGCAGAAGCCCAUCCCCAGGCAUCCUCUAGUGCUGACUGACGAGAUAGGAGCAAAACUCAUGCAACCUGCCUUUCAGAUGCAAAUAGAACAUUCCUAAGUCCUUUGAGGCACUCUGCCAAUGUG
Molecule: long non-coding RNA, 1116 nt
Filed under: Homo sapiens (human)
Lineage: Eukaryota; Metazoa; Chordata; Mammalia; Primates; Hominidae
Description: long non-coding RNA NONHSAT220576.1
Source: RNAcentral